RNAcentral lists this ribosomal RNA (296 nucleotides) under Fibrobacter succinogenes. RNAcentral's name for it is "partial 16S ribosomal RNA". Lineage: Bacteria; Pseudomonadati; Fibrobacterota; Fibrobacteria; Fibrobacterales; Fibrobacteraceae. The record is from RNAcentral.
GGAGUCUGGGCCGUAUCUCAGUCCCAAUGUGGCCGAUCACCCUCUCAGGCCGGCUACCGAUCGUCGCCUUGGUGGUCCGUUACACCGCCAACUAGCUAAUCGGACGCAAACUCAUCCUACAUCGAUAAAUCUUUCGUCAAGCGUCCAUGUGAACGCCCACGUUAUCCCGUAUUACCCACGCGUUGGCAUGGCUAUCCAUGGAAUGUAGGGCAGAUUGUUUACGCGUUACUCACCCGUUCGCCGCUGUAUUGCUACCGCUCGACUUGCAUGUAUAAGACACGCCACCAGCGUUCGUU